RNAcentral lists this long non-coding RNA (301 nucleotides) under Homo sapiens (human). RNAcentral describes it as "non-protein coding lnc-AP2S1-2:1". Lineage: Eukaryota; Metazoa; Chordata; Mammalia; Primates; Hominidae. The record is from RNAcentral.
UGUUGCCAGGGUUGGUCUUAAACUAAUGGGCUUGAAUGCUACUCCUGCCUUGCUGUCUCAAAGUGCUGGGAUUACAGGCAUGAGCCAUCAUGCCUGGCCAUCUAUUACUUUUGUAAUCAGAUAAAAAAUAUUUUUAGAGUGAUGGGAUAGUUCAAGUCCCGAUUUAUCAAUGGCUAUGCCACCCUCCUCCCCACGGCAAGGUUUUGGUCUCGCUCAUCUUCUCCACUCCCGCUGGCCGUGCCCUGGCUGUGCAGACAGGUGAGUGGGCAGCAUCAAAGGCCCUGCGGCAUAAAUUUCUUUC